RNAcentral lists this unclassified non-coding RNA (259 nucleotides) under Hevea brasiliensis (rubber tree). Lineage: Eukaryota; Viridiplantae; Streptophyta; Magnoliopsida; Malpighiales; Euphorbiaceae. The record is from RNAcentral.
GUGGUAUUUGCUGAGGAGAACAGGAAGAAGCCAUCUGAUAUGAGGGCAAGGGAGAGAGGAAGUGGGCGAUUUUAUGAUCGAAGAAGAUCUCCUCCACAGUAUUCUCGUUCGCCUCGAUAUUCACGUUCCCCGGCUCAACGUCAUGCAAGGUAUUCUCGUUCACCAGCUCCACGCCAUGCAAGGUCUAGGUCCCGUAGUUAUGAUUAUGCAUCCCCACCACCAAAACAGAGGGCUUACUCAAGAUCAGUGUCCCCCCGUG